Long non-coding RNA from Myotis daubentonii (Daubenton's bat), 1145 nucleotides. RefSeq lists it as uncharacterized. NCBI's taxonomy places the organism in Eukaryota, Metazoa, Chordata, Mammalia, Chiroptera, Vespertilionidae. The record is from RefSeq and is a predicted model, not a curated record.
UCCACUCUCACCUGCCCCGCCAGGAAUAUGCAGACACCUGAGCACAAUAGCCCUUCCAUGGAAGUGGACUUGUGUUUUGCAAGGCAGGGCGAUCUCAGCUUGGGUAUACUCAUUCUAGCAUAGCUUCCCUGUAGUGUUGCUCAACUCGUGUGUUAGGAAUAGCUCUGCCCAUUCCCAGUGGCAGCAAGAGGGCAGGAGGGACAGGGGAGACUGAGCAGGCAGGUCUCUAAAUGACCUCAAGUCACCACAACCACCAACCCACUCAGGUGCUGAAGGGAAUGGGAAAAUCCUCCUAUGACCCAGUGAGCACUUCCAAUAAAGGUGAGCACUGACAGCCAGGCAGGAGGCGGGUCAUCCUGACAGCAAGUGGCUAGGAGAGCAUUGAGAUGUUGUGGAAACUGGGAUUCCAGAUUGGCAGCUCUGAGUCAGCCUCUGAUUGGCAAGGGACAGGUCCCCCUUCCGUAAGGUUUUCCACUUCCCACUGGGCCCUGCUCAGGUCAGGCGGGCUGGAGGGGCGAGAGCUCAGCACUGGCCCUGGGGUCUUGGCACUAUUUCAAAGGCUGGCUUCAGAUGCUUAUCAGCUGGCUCUUGCACAAGGCCUGGGCGGAGAUCGCAUCAGAGAUGUGAAAAAUGCCAGGGAAGCCAAAACAACUUUCUUUAAAUAGGGCUCAGGCAAUAGGCAGGGUGCUUACACUCCACCUUGGCCUUGUGAAGGAAAAUGCAAACAUUAGCCCAGAGUUGGAGAAGCAAACAGGCACCUUAGAGGAAGACAGAGAACUGACUCCAAAAGACGCCAAGACACAGGGAAUGCAAAGAAAGCUAUCCACACCCUUCUCCUAACCAUCUUGACCUGCAAAUGACACGUCAUUUCUGAUCACACUCUGUAGGAGAAGCUAUUGCAUGACCCCACCUACAUGCACGAAGAGCUAGGAGAUGGAAUCCUGUCUGGACAGCCACUUCAGCCCAUGGAAAGUGAAGCACAGUCUGUUGGUGGACAACUAGCUCUCCACCCACCUUUGAAUUUCCUGUAACAGUUAGUUACCGUCCAUGGCCCAGGAAAAAUGUCUUUGCCCCCCCAGUUUCAGUUCCUAACAGGACAAAGAUUUUCAGAUCUAGAUGACCUAUCAGUAAAUGGCUAUACCUAA